ACUUAAGCAUAUCAGUAAGCAGAGGAAAAGAAAACAACAGUGAUUCCCUUAGUAACUGCGAGUGAAGCGGGAAAAGCCCAUCGUUGAAUCUUCCUAGACCAUGUCUGGGACGAAAUGUGACGGUAUGGAUAGGUUCUCUACCAAUAUUUGACUGAUCAAAGUCCUCUGGAUUGAGGUGCCAAAGAGGGUGACAGCCCCGUGUAUGAUUGGACAAUGUUGGGUAUGUGACCAAUUCCGAGAGUCGGGUUGUUUGGGAAUGCAACCUAAAGUAGGUGGUAAACUCCACCCAAGGCUAAAUAUUGACACGAAACCGAUAGCGAACAAGUACUGUGAAGGAAAGUUGAAAAGCACUCUGAAAAGAGAGUGAAAAGUACGUGAAACCGCUAACGGGGAAGCGGAAGGCAGUGUCGAGAUUGAGUGAGUGAGUCGUUUCAAAUGCAUCCAACUCCAAAUCAAAAGGAAGGGUGUAUUUGGGGCGGGUAGCUUUGCUUGAUGCGUCAGGCCUAUUGGUGUGUUUUGGUUCAAUUGCUGAAUUGGCUCUCACGACACUUGUGUUUGAAUGCAAACAUGAGCUCGCGUUUGCAAUCAGUAAUCCGCCUUACGCGCUGAUAUGUAUGUGAUGAAGCGUUGGUGAUGUAUUGUCGGUUGGUGCGUUAUAGUGCUUCAUGUUGGCCACAUUGUGGUUACAUGUGGAGAAGUUGUAGUGUAGUUCAACAACCAAUGCUAGUUCCUGACGAGAUACCCAACUUUCCGA
RNAcentral lists this ribosomal RNA (754 nucleotides) under Kudoa cookii. RNAcentral describes it as "eukaryotic LSU rRNA". It matches the Rfam family "Eukaryotic large subunit ribosomal RNA", at positions 32 to 647 of the family's 3401-position model. The record is from RNAcentral. Lineage: Eukaryota; Metazoa; Cnidaria; Myxozoa; Multivalvulida; Kudoidae.